RNAcentral lists this long non-coding RNA (718 nucleotides) under Gopherus agassizii (Agassiz's desert tortoise). Its description in RNAcentral is "lncRNA (ENSGAGG00000025833.1)". The record is from RNAcentral. Lineage: Eukaryota; Metazoa; Chordata; Testudines; Testudinidae.
GUUUUUUUUAUUUAAAUGCUGUCCAAAUUAUCAAUAUUUAAAAUAUUUAUAGGAAAUUAACACAUUUUAUAUUUGACUUGAAAGUUAUUGUUUAGCAUUCUUUGAUCAGCUUCAUUAUACAGAGUACGUUUAAAUCUGAGUGGUUGUGCUGUACUACUGAGUUUUUUCUAGAAUUUAGGGGGUUUGUAUAAGUUACCCAAGAUUUGUUUCUUUUCUAAUUUCUACUUAAUUUUUUUUUACAGUUCAACAGAAGAGCAGUUUCAUUGGCAAACGCAAGAUGGUCAGAAGGCUAUAGAGGAUGAGCUCACAACUGGUCUUGAGCUGGUGGACUCCUGUAUUAGAUCACUGCAGGAAUCAGGAAUACUUGAUCCACAGGACUACUCAACUAGUGAAAGGCCCAGCCUUCUAUCCCAGAGUGCACUUCAGCUCAAUUCCAAACCUGAAGGGUCUUUCCAGUAUUCAGCGAGCUACCAUAGCAACCAGACCCUUGCCCUGGGUGAAACAGCAACAACACAGCUCCCAGCCCGCAGCAGUCAAGCCAGAGCUGCCAUUCAGAGCUACAGCCAGGGCACAACUAGUCGAGCAGCCCAUUUAGCUGGCUCUGAACCUUCUCAGUCAAGAGAGUCCUUUGUGCCAAGCCAUGGGAGCGCGUUCCAUUUGCCUGAUUCCCAGCAUUCUUCAACACUUUAUUACUCCAGCUCCACUCUGCCAGCCCAGA